AGUGAACGCUGGCGGUAGGCCUAACACAUGCAAGUCGAACGGCAGCACAGGAGAGCUUGCUCUCUGGGUGGCGAGUGGCGGACGGGUGAGGAAUACAUCGGGAUCUACUCUGUCGUGGGGGAUAACGUAGGGAAACUUACGCUAAUACCGCAUACGACCUACGGGUGAAAGCAGGGGACCUUCGGGCCUUGCGCGAUUGAAUGAGCCGAUGUCGGAUUAGCUAGUUGGCGGGGUAAAGGCCCACCAAGGCGACGAUCCGUAGCUGGUCUGAGAGGAUGAACAGCCACACUGGAAAUGAGACACGGCAGAGACUCCGACGUGAGGCAGCAGUGGGGAAUAUUGGAAAAUGGGCGCAAGCCUGAUCCAGCCAUACCGCGUGGGUGAAGAAGGCCUUCGGGUUGUAAAGCCCUUUUGUUGGGAAAGAAAUCCAGCUGGCUAAUACCCGGUUGGGAUGACGGUACCCAAAGAAUAAGCACCGGCUAACUUCGUGCCAGCCGCCGCCGUAA
This 506-nucleotide ribosomal RNA is filed under the name uncultured bacterium. RNAcentral's name for it is "partial 16S ribosomal RNA". It matches the Rfam family "Bacterial small subunit ribosomal RNA", at positions 29 to 523 of the family's 1533-position model. The record is from RNAcentral.